GUAGCUUAACGACUGAACUCGUACCAACCCGCUUCGUAAGCUCCGACUACACUUAGAUACUGAAUUCCUACACUAGCUGCAAAAACGCUCCUGAGAGUAAGAAGCACUAUUGCGCUGCCUACACAGGCCUAGUAUCUCUAGCUCUCGGAAAACUUCAUACAUGACGGCAGCUUCAGCACACACUGCUAUCGCAUUCACCUUUGAUUAGUGCCUGAUUAGUGUAGUGUCUAUCCACGAAGACCUGAUCAGCAUCAGCCCCUGAUCGAGUUGUGAAACCACCACAUAAGCCCUUAUGCGAUUGGGCCUGCUUUUAGUAAAAAAAGAGCUACUUCCUCUCGGCUGUUGAGAUAGGUCCUGCCUGUUCGAGUCGUAAGAGAAGAGGA
Molecule: long non-coding RNA, 383 nt
Filed under: Amborella trichopoda
Lineage: Eukaryota; Viridiplantae; Streptophyta; Magnoliopsida; Amborellales; Amborellaceae
Description: long non-coding RNA (ATRI_LNC002529)
Source: RNAcentral